AUUCCAGCUCCAAUAGCGUAUAUUAAAGUUGUUGCAGUUAAAAAGCUCGUAGUUGGAUUUCUGUUACUGGAGGGGUGGUCCGCCUCACGGCGAGCACUGCUAUCCUCUGUGACAUCCUCUCAAAGUUUUAGCGGGUGCACUUAGUUGUGUGGCUGUUGAAUUUGGGAUCUUUACUUUGAAAAAAUUAGAGUGUUCAAAGCAGGCUAUUUGCUUGAAUAUAUUAGCAUGGAAUAAUGGAAUAGGACUUUUUCCUCUUCUGUUGGUCUGAGGGGUUCGAGUAAUGAUUAAUAGGGAUAGUUGGGGGCAUUAGUACUUUGCUGUCAGAGGUGAAGUUCUCGGAUUUGCAAAAGACUAACUUAUGCGAAAGCAUUUGCCAAGGAUGUUUUCAUCA
RNAcentral lists this ribosomal RNA (391 nucleotides) under Choanoflagellata sp. RNAcentral describes it as "partial small subunit ribosomal RNA". It matches the Rfam family "Eukaryotic small subunit ribosomal RNA", at positions 582 to 975 of the family's 1831-position model. Lineage: Eukaryota; Choanoflagellata. The record is from RNAcentral.